AAAAAUAAAAAUAAAAAUAAAAUCUUAAUUUAAUAGAGACCUAAAAAAAAUGGAUCAAAUAAAAACACUAAUUAAUGAGAGUGAAGGUAAGUUGAGGGAGAAUCCCUUAAUCUUUUGUACGUGUUGUCCACGUAUUGGUUUCCACAGUUAUGCUUCGAUAAUACUUUUAGUAUAAUAAUUUGGUUUUUUUUACCGAGAUAACCCAGUUUUUCAAAAAAAAUC
This 222-nucleotide long non-coding RNA is filed under the name Lathyrus oleraceus (garden pea). RNAcentral describes it as "Pisum sativum (pea) long non-coding RNA (PSAT_LNC023547)". Lineage: Eukaryota; Viridiplantae; Streptophyta; Magnoliopsida; Fabales; Fabaceae. The record is from RNAcentral.